RNAcentral lists this long non-coding RNA (1509 nucleotides) under Heterocephalus glaber (naked mole-rat). Its description in RNAcentral is "lncRNA (ENSHGLG00100035290.1)". The record is from RNAcentral. Lineage: Eukaryota; Metazoa; Chordata; Mammalia; Rodentia; Bathyergidae.
CCCCCCAGCUGGCAACCAAAACAAAACACUCAGAUUCAAAUUUUCUAUGCCAAGGAUCAGAGGUUAUUUUGUAUUAAUUUAAACUAAAUUGUUGCAUAGUUCAGAUUUAAUCGGCACCUCCAGAUUAGGUGCUAAAGUUUGCAUGUUGGAGGCCCCACAAAGGCCCAUGUGCUAAAGGCCACCCCCAGAGUGGUGCCCCUGGGAGGGGCUGGAACCUUUAAGAGGUGUGGCCUAGUGAGGGGUACUUUGGUCACAGAGGCAAACCCCGGAACCGGAACCGGACCUGGAGUGUGCUGCCACUUCCCGUUUCUCUUCCACUUUGACUUGUCUCCAUGAGGCAAGUGCUUUUUCUCUGCCACAUACACUCACCAUGAUGUGCCACUUGCCAAAGGCAUAAAGCAGUGAGGACAACAUGGGGUAAUCAACCCUGGACUGGAACCUUGUAAACUAUGAACUGAUGUAUGUCAUUUCUCUUUAUAACACGAUUAUCUUACACAUUUGCUAUAUUUGAAGAAAGCUAAUAUGUUAACCAAUACACAUUUCUAAAGAUACUCAGAAAAGGAAUUGAGGAGGGAACCAAACUGAUACACUAUCAAAACAAAAUAAAAAACACGAAACAAUAAUGGAAGAAAUGAGGAAAAACAAUAAAGACAUAAAACGUGAGAGACAAAGGUCAGUGUAAAUAAAUAUCAAUGGAAUAAAAUUUCCAAUUCAAAGGCUGAGACUGGCGAAUAGUAACAUGAUCUGACUCUAUACUGUCAGCAGGGCAUGCCGUUUAGAGCCUAAAACACAAAUAGGUUGCAAGUGAAAGGACGGAAGGCAUACUCCACACAACCAGUACCCAGAGAUAGAUGGCAAGAACUUUAAGCCAAAAACUGCUACAAGAGACAAAAAAGGAUAUCAUAUUUAAAAGGGGGGCUAUCUGCCAGGCAUGGUAGUACACACCUGCAACCCCAGCCACUUUAGGGGGUGAAGGCAGGAGGAUCCUAAGUUAUAAUAAUAGAAUACAGCACUUACCUGGCAGUCCAAAGGCCGUGACUUCAGUCCCAAUACCACAGAUAAAGUGCAUGUGUGUAGGGAGAACUCAUCAAGAGAUAUAACAAUCAUAAGCAAAUCUGCAUCCAACCAUAGAGCUUCUAAUUACAUGAAGAAAAACUUGACAUUAUUGAAGAAGACACAAUUAAACAAUUAUAGUAGGAGAAUUCUAUACUGAAAAUUCAGAAUGAAUAUUUUAACCAGAAAGAAGAGCAAUAAGAAAAUAAAGAACUGGAAUAAAACUCUAAAGCAAUUAGACCUCAGAGAUAUCUAAUGUGCACCACUCAGGAGCCAAAAAAUAUGGAUUUUCCUCAAUUUUAUAUAAAACAUUUUCUCAGUCAGACCCACAGGUUAGGCUCAGGCUCAGAAAAUUGUGAAAGCCAGAAGUCAUAUAAAGUAACUUCUCCUCCUCCUGCUCCUCCUCCUCUACCAGACAUGCCUGCCUCUCUUCCUCCUCCUCCUCCUCCUCCAUCU